GCCGACGUGGUGAAAUGGCAGACACGGUAGACUCAAAAUCUACUGUCCGCAAGGACAUAUCGGUUCAAGUCCGAUCGCCGGCA
RNAcentral lists this transfer RNA (83 nucleotides) under Treponema sp. Its description in RNAcentral is "tRNA-Leu". It matches the Rfam family "tRNA". From Rfam's summary of the family: Transfer RNA (tRNA) molecules are approximately 80 nucleotides in length. Their secondary structure includes four short double-helical elements and three loops (D, anti-codon, and T loops). The record is from RNAcentral. Lineage: Bacteria; Pseudomonadati; Spirochaetota; Spirochaetia; Treponematales; Treponemataceae.